Molecule: ribosomal RNA, 254 nt
Filed under: uncultured bacterium
Lineage: Bacteria
Description: partial 16S ribosomal RNA
Rfam family: Bacterial small subunit ribosomal RNA
Source: RNAcentral
UACGUAGGGUGCGAGCGUUGUCCGGAAUUCUUGGGCGUAAAGAGCUCGUAGGCGGUGUGUCACGUCGGCCGUGAAAACCUGCAGCUUAACUGUGGGCGUGCGGUCGAUACGGGCAUCACUGGAGUUCGGCAGGGGAGACUGGAAUUCCUGGUGUAGCGGUGAAAUGCGCAGAUAUCAGGAGGAACACCGGUGGCGAAGGCGGGUCUGUGGACCGCCACUGACGCUGAGACACGAAAGCGUGGGUAGCAAACAGG